Molecule: ribosomal RNA, 710 nt
Filed under: uncultured bacterium
Lineage: Bacteria
Description: bacterial SSU rRNA
Rfam family: Bacterial small subunit ribosomal RNA
Source: RNAcentral
GGCUGAGUAACACGUGGAGAACCUGCCCCCUCCCCCGGGAUAGCCGCCCGAAAGGACGGGUAAUACCGGAUACCCCGGGGUGCCGCAUGGCACCCCGGCUAAAGCCCCGACGGGAGGGGAUGGCUCCGCGGCCCAUCAGGUAGACGGCGGGGUGACGGCCCACCGUGCCGACAACGGGUAGCCGGGUUGAGAGACCGACCGGCCAGAUUGGGACUGAGACACGGCCCAGACUCCUACGGGAGGCAGCAGUGGGGAAUCUUGCGCAAUGGGGGGAACCCUGACGCAGCGACACCGCGUGCGGGACGGAGGCCUUCGGGUCGUAAACCGCUUUCAGCAGGGAAGAGUCAAGACUGUACCUGCAGAAGAAGCCCCGGCUAACUACGUGCCAGCAGCCGCGGUAAUACGUAGGGGGCGAGCGUUAUCCGGAUUCAUUGGGCGUAAAGCGCGCGUAGGCGGCCCGGCAGGCCGGGGGUCGAAGCGGGGGGCUCAACCCCCCGAAGCCCCCGGAACCUCCGCGGCUUGGGUCCGGUAGGGGAGGGUGGAACACCCGGUGUAGCGGUGGAAUGCGCAGAUAUCGGGUGGAACACCGGUGGCGAAGGCGGCCCUCUGGGCCGAGACCGACGCUGAGGCGCGAAAGCUGGGGGAGCGAACAGGAUUAGAUACCCUGGUAGUCCCAGCCGUAAACGAUGGACGCUAGGUGUGGGGGGACG